GUUUAUGAAUAAGGUGAAUUACUGUACAUCUGUAUAUGUAUAUUAAAGUAACCAACUGACCUCCUUCAACAAAUAAUUCCUCUCGUAUUUCUUUUUCUAAUUCAGAAAUACGAGAGGAAUUAUUUGUAGUACUGCAGGUCAGGUUUUUUACAAGCGUACAAGAUAGGGGAGAGGGAGACAUUUGAAAGAUAAUAGUAAUAAAUGCAAGGAUAUCAGGUAAUUUUACCAAAAACUAAAUGACCUUCGACAUGCUCCCCCUAUGUAUAUUAAACCAACUGACCUCCUUCAACGAAUAAUUCCUCUCGUAUUUCUUUUUCUAAUUCAGAAGGCGUGAGAUACUCUCUGCCAUCUGUAGUAUAAAUCACAUCAAUAAGCCCAAGGUUGAUCAGUUUUUGAACAAGUUCCACACAAUUUCGUUCAGAUAGUUUAUGAGAAGUGCUACUAAGCUGUGCUCUCUGAAAAUCAGCUGCCAAACGCUUUACUUCUUCCCAAUCACCCAUUUUAUUUUCUUGUGUUUAUAUUUUAUUUUAAUUUUUGGUUUUUUUUCUCCUAAAUUUGAUCAAAACAACAGUGAACAGCAAAGACACGUAUUUUUCUACUCCUGAGCCCAUGGUAAUCC
Molecule: non-coding RNA, 619 nt
Organism: Paramuricea clavata
Lineage: Eukaryota; Metazoa; Cnidaria; Anthozoa; Malacalcyonacea; Plexauridae
Source: the annotation of a GenBank genome assembly